GACGAACGCUGGCGGCGUGCUUAACACAUGCAAGUCGAACGAAAAGAGGGAAAGAGCCUGCUCUUUCCGGAAUUGAGUGGCAAACGGGUGAGUAACACGUAAACAACCUGCCUUCAGGAUGGGGACAACAGACGGAAACGACUGCUAAUACCGAAUAAGUUCCAAGAGCCGCAUGGCCCAUGGAAGAAAAGGUGGCCUCUACCUGUAAGCUAUCGCCUGAAGAGGGGUUUGCGGCUGAUUAGCUGGUUGGAGGGGUAACGGCCCACCAAGGCGACGAUCAGUAGCCGGUCGGAGAGGAUGAACGGCGGCACGGGAACUGAGACACGGUCCAGACUCCUACGGGAGGCAGCAGUGGGGAAUCUGCCGCAAUGGGCGAAAGCCUGACGGAGCAACGCCGCGUGAGUGAUGACGGCCUUCGGGUUGUAAAACUCGGUGUUCCGGGACGAAAAGGCAGAGUGCGAAGAACAAACUGCAUUGACGGUACCGGAAAAGCAAGCCACGGCUAACUACGUG
This 513-nucleotide ribosomal RNA is filed under the name uncultured bacterium. RNAcentral describes it as "partial 16S ribosomal RNA". It matches the Rfam family "Bacterial small subunit ribosomal RNA", at positions 28 to 507 of the family's 1533-position model. The record is from RNAcentral.